Molecule: ribosomal RNA, 437 nt
Filed under: Pichia manshurica
Lineage: Eukaryota; Fungi; Ascomycota; Pichiomycetes; Pichiales; Pichiaceae
Description: eukaryotic LSU rRNA
Rfam family: 5.8S ribosomal RNA (bases 93-246)
Source: RNAcentral
GCUUUUUUGAAAUUUACUUCACGCGUGUUGUGAGCGCACAAACACAUAAACCGUGAGUAAUUUUUAUCGAUACAAGAAAGGAAAGAAUACAAACCUUUCAACAACGGAUCUCUUGGUUCUCGCAUCGAUGAAAAGCGCAGCGAAAUGCGAUACCUAUUGUGAAUUGCAGCCUUCGUGAAUCAGCUAGUUCUUGAACGCUUCUUGCGCCCCGUCGGUAUUCCGGCGGGCUUGCCUGUUUGAACGUCUUUUCCUUCUUGGAACUUUUGUUAAAAAAGAAAGUUCCAAAGUUGGCCGUGCCACCGGCCCGGCCGAAAAUAAACGUUGCGGAAGAAGCGAACUAAAUUGGGGACGCUUUGGCCGCUUAGCGAAAAUCAUGUCUUGGAGCUCGACCUCAGAUCAGGUGGGAGCACCGGCUGACCUUAAGCAUAUCCUGGUUG